UCUGAGGGCUGGGCUCGGG
This 19-nucleotide non-coding RNA is filed under the name Arabidopsis thaliana (thale cress). The record is from RNAcentral. Lineage: Eukaryota; Viridiplantae; Streptophyta; Magnoliopsida; Brassicales; Brassicaceae.